GCGACCCCAGGUCAGCCGGGAUCACCCGCUGAGUUUAAGCAUAUCAAUAA
Molecule: ribosomal RNA, 50 nt
Filed under: Carallia eugenioidea
Lineage: Eukaryota; Viridiplantae; Streptophyta; Magnoliopsida; Malpighiales; Rhizophoraceae
Description: partial 26S ribosomal RNA
Source: RNAcentral